RNAcentral lists this ribosomal RNA (924 nucleotides) under Triticum aestivum (bread wheat). Its description in RNAcentral is "partial small subunit ribosomal RNA". The record is from RNAcentral. Lineage: Eukaryota; Viridiplantae; Streptophyta; Magnoliopsida; Poales; Poaceae.
AUGAGCUAUGUGUGGAGGAGCAUACUUAAAGGGAUUGAACUCUUAAAAGAAGGAGUGGUCUGGAGGAUUGGAGACGGUACCGAUGUUCAGAUUUGGGAUGACCCACGAAUCCCGAGGGGUAUCACACGGCGACCUUCAACCCCUAAAGGUCAGUGCCUCCUCACUAGAGUCUGUGAGCUCAUCGACCCGGACACGGGCACGUGGGAUCGGGAUCUCGUCGAGGGAUGCUUUCACGCAGAUGAUGUGCCUUCCAUUCUGAGUAUUCCUAUCUGCGAGCAGUCCGAAGACUUUCUAGCUUGGCACUAUGAUAGCAAGGGUAUCUUCUCUGUCAAAUCGGCUUACAAGGUGCAUGUGGUUGUUCUGAAACGGGAGACUACCAGGCAGAGGGGUCAGAGCUCUUCGGAGGUCUCUGCUCGCUCCGAAAUCUUCAGUCUCAUUUGGAAGCAGAAAUGUCUACCCAAAGUUCACCACUUAUGGAGGCUUGCCCAUAACAGCCACCCCAUGUACAUAAACAUCGCCAGAAGGGGUGUCGAGCUCGACACGCGAUGUGCAGUCUACGGACGCCUCUUUGAGGAUGGAUGGCACUUCUUUCUGAACUGCAAAUGGGUUAAGCAACGGUGGCGGGCUCUUCAGUUGGAAGAAGGCAGGAUACAGCUCGCCCAACUUCAGAAUGCAAGGGAAGUAGUACAUGCGGUGUUACGGCUUCCUAAUGAGCAAAGGAUGUCGACCAUUGCACUAUUGUGGGCAUGGUGGUCAGAAAGGAACCGAGGAAACCAUGGAGAGCGGCGUUCAACAGUUGAUGAAUUUCAGUUUCUUGUCGGAUUCCACGCAAAUGAAUGGAGAGUGUACAUUGACCCUGCUCCUCCAGUCCGAGUGGCCUCCUGCCGGGCAUGGCAGCCCCCCUCCAGAUCUAGUAAAGAUUAA